AGCUAAUACCGGAUAAUAUUUUGAACCGCAUGGUUCAAAAGUGAAAGACGGUCUUGCUGUCACUUAUAGAUGGAUCCGCGCUGCAUUAGCUAGUUGGUAAGGUAACGGCUUACCAAGGCAACGAUGCAUAGCCGACCUGAGAGGGUGAUCGGCCACACUGGAACUGAGACACGGUCCAGACUCCUACGGGAGGCAGCAGUAGGGAAUCUUCCGCAAUGGGCGAAAGCCUGACGGAGCAACGCCGCGUGAGUGAUGAAGGUCUUCGGAUCGUAAAACUCUGUUAUUAGGGAAGAACAUAUGUGUAAGUAACUGUGCACAUCUUGACGGUACCUAAUCAGAAAGCCACGGCUAACUACGUGCCAGCAGCCGCGGUAAUACGUAGGUGGCAAGCGUUAUCCGGAAUUAUUGGGCGUAAAGCGCGCGUAGGCGGUUUUUUAAGUCUGAUGUGAAAGCCCACGGCUCAACCGUGGAGGGUCAUUGGAAACUGGAAAACUUGAGUGCAGAAGAGGAAAGUGGAAUUCCAUGUGUAGCGGUGAAAUGCGCAGAGAUAUGGAGGAACACCAGUGGCGAAGGCGACUUUCUGGUCUGUAACUGACGCUGAUGUGCGAAAGCGUGGGGAUCAAACAGGAUUAGAUACCCUGGUAGUCCACGCCGUAAACGAUGAGUGCUAAGUGUUAGGGGGUUUCCAGCCCCUUAGUGCUGCAGCUAACGCAUUAAGCACUCCGCCUGGGGAGUACGACCGCAAGGUUGAAACUCAAAGGAAUUGACGGGGACCCGCACAAGCGGUGGAGCAUGUGGUUUAAUUCGAAGCAACGCGAAGAACCUUACCAAAUCUUGACAUCCUUUGACAACUCUAGAGAUAGAGCCUUCCCCUUCGGGGGACAAAGUGACAGGUGGUGCAUGGUUGUCGUCAGCUCGUGUCGUGAGAUGUUGGGUUAAGUCCCGCAACGAGCGCAACCCUUAAGCUUAGUUGCCAUCAUUAAGUUGGGCACUCUAAGUUGACUGCCGGUGACAAACCGGAGGAAGGUGGGGAUGACGUCAAAUCAUCAUGCCCCUUAUGAUUUGGGCUACACACGUGCUACAAUGGACAAUACAAAGGGCAGCGAAACCGCGAGGUCAAGCAAAUCCCAUAAAGUUGUUCUCAGUUCGGAUUGUAGUCUGCAACUCGACUACAUGAAGCUGGAAUCGCUAGUAAUCGUAGAUCAGCAUGCUACGGUGAAUACGUUCCCGGGUCUUGUACACACCGCCCGUCACACCACGAGAGUUUGUAACACCCGAAGCCGGUGGAGUAACCUUUUAGGAGCUAGCCGUCGAAGGUGGGACAAAUGAUUGGGGUGAAGUCGUAACAAGGUAGCCGUAUCGGAAGGUGCGGCUGGAUCACCUCCUUUCUAAGGA
This 1395-nucleotide ribosomal RNA is filed under the name Staphylococcus aureus. Its description in RNAcentral is "bacterial SSU rRNA". It matches the Rfam family "Bacterial small subunit ribosomal RNA", at positions 161 to 1533 of the family's 1533-position model. Lineage: Bacteria; Bacillati; Bacillota; Bacilli; Caryophanales; Staphylococcaceae. The record is from RNAcentral.